Molecule: ribosomal RNA, 254 nt
Filed under: uncultured bacterium
Lineage: Bacteria
Description: partial 16S ribosomal RNA
Rfam family: Bacterial small subunit ribosomal RNA
Source: RNAcentral
UACGGAGGGUGCAAGCGUUAUCCGGAAUCACUGGGUUUAAAGGGUGCGUAGGCGGUCAGAUAAGUCAGUCGUGAAAUUCCUCGGCUUAACCGGGUGGACUGCGAUUGAUACUGUUUGACUUAAAUGAGGUUGAGGUAGGCGGAAUGUGGCAUGUAGCGGUGAAAUGCUUAGAUAUGCCAUAGAACACCGAUUGCGAAGGCAGCUUGCUGGGCCUUCAUUGACGCUGAGGCACGAAAGCGUGGGGAGCAAACAGG